UGGAAGGACCCAUGUGUGCCCUGGU
This 25-nucleotide non-coding RNA is filed under the name Mus musculus (house mouse). The record is from RNAcentral. Lineage: Eukaryota; Metazoa; Chordata; Mammalia; Rodentia; Muridae.